CAGCAGCCGCGGGAAUACGUAGGUGGCAAGCGUUGUCCGGGAUUAUUGGGCGUAAAGGGCUCGCAGGCGGUUUCUUAAGUCUGAUGUGAAAGCCCCCGGCUCAACCGGGGAGGGUCAUUGGAAGCUGGGAAACUUGAGUGCAGAAGAGGAGAGUGGAAUUCCACGUGUAGCGGUGAAAUGCGUAGAGAUGUGGAGGAACACCAGUGGCGAAGGCGACUCUCUGGUCUGUAACUGACGCUGAGGAGCGAAAGCGUGGGGAGCGAACAGGAUUAGAUACCCCCGUAGUCCCUGUCUCUUAUAC
Molecule: ribosomal RNA, 301 nt
Filed under: uncultured bacterium
Lineage: Bacteria
Description: partial 16S ribosomal RNA
Rfam family: Bacterial small subunit ribosomal RNA
Source: RNAcentral